This 253-nucleotide ribosomal RNA is filed under the name uncultured bacterium. Its description in RNAcentral is "partial 16S ribosomal RNA". It matches the Rfam family "Bacterial small subunit ribosomal RNA", at positions 524 to 776 of the family's 1533-position model. The record is from RNAcentral.
GACGGAGGAGGCAAGCGUUAUCCGGAAUUAUUGGGCGUAAAGCGUCCGCAGGUGGCACCUCAAGUCUGCUGUCAAAGACCGGGGCUUAACCCCAGAAAGGCAGUGGAAACUGAAGUGCUAGAGUGCAGUAGGGGUAGAGGGAAUUCCCGGUGUAGCGGUGAAAUGCGUAGAGAUCGGGAAGAACAUCGGUGGCGAAAGCGCUCUGCUGGACUGCAACUGACACUCAGGGACGAAAGCUAGGGGAGCGAAUGGG